This 209-nucleotide unclassified non-coding RNA is filed under the name plant metagenome. RNAcentral describes it as "partial contains small subunit ribosomal RNA, internal transcribed spacer 1, and 5.8S ribosomal RNA". The record is from RNAcentral.
UCUCCGUUGGUGAACCAGCGGAGGGAUCAUUACUGGAAUCGCAAGAUCCCACAACCCUGUGAACCUACCGAAACGUUGCCUCGGCGGGUGCCCGGCCCCCGCGCCGGGCGCUGCGUCCGCCGGCGGCCCCCUACUCUGUCUCUGCAGCGUGGCAUCUCAGAGUCCCAGAAAACAAGUCAAAACUUUCAACAACGGAUCUCUUGGCUCUA